CUGAGCAUAAACCCCAGCCUGUGUACCUGAUCUCAUCAGAUCUCAGAAGCUAAGCAAGACUGGGCCUAGUUGGUACUUGGGUGGGAAAACCUGGGGAUGCUGGGU
Molecule: ribosomal RNA, 105 nt
Filed under: Marmota monax (woodchuck)
Lineage: Eukaryota; Metazoa; Chordata; Mammalia; Rodentia; Sciuridae
Source: RNAcentral